UGAGGGAAGCUGCUCCUAGUACGAGAGGACCGGAGUGGACGAACCUCUGGUGUUCCGGUUGUGACGCCAGUCGCAUUGCCGGGUAGCUACGUUCGGACGGGAUAACCGCUGAAAGCAUCUAAGCGGGAAGCCCCUCCCAAGACUAGUUCUCCCCGACCCCUUGAGGGUCCUUAAGAGCCGUCCAAGACUAGGACGUUGAUAGGCUGGGUGUGGAAGCGCUGUAAAGCGUUGAGCUAACCAGUACUAAUUGCUCGUGCGGCUUGACCAU
Molecule: ribosomal RNA, 268 nt
Filed under: Luminiphilus sp.
Lineage: Bacteria; Pseudomonadati; Pseudomonadota; Gammaproteobacteria; Cellvibrionales; Halieaceae
Description: partial 23S ribosomal RNA
Rfam family: Bacterial large subunit ribosomal RNA
Source: RNAcentral